Molecule: long non-coding RNA, 538 nt
Organism: Dromaius novaehollandiae (emu)
Lineage: Eukaryota; Metazoa; Chordata; Aves; Casuariiformes; Dromaiidae
Exons: 5
Source: RefSeq, a predicted model, not a curated record
AGCCAAAGGACGGAGGCUCAGCCACACACAGACCGAAAUAAGGAGAUCAAGCAAAUCCUGGGGGAAAAAAAUGAAACCGUGAAGGACUGGGUGAAUUUUCUCCUAAUUGUGAUCCUGGAGGACCUCAAGCCCCCAAGCGCACUCGCCUUGUGGACAUCACAACGCCUUCCUUGAGGAAAUAGGGACAUUAUAGGAAAAGAUGCCGGCAGUGAAAUGCAACCGAGCCUUGCUGAUAUUUCCCCGGAAUUCACCCAAAUUCCUACUUUCCUCCAAAACAAACCUGCCUCCCAACCGACGGCUCCUAGCAGCGGUGCGGAGGGUGAAGGGGCAGAAUCUGAGCCCAGGGAGGCAUUUUAAAGGAGUCGGCUCCGUCCUUUGCAGCUCGUAAAUAAAAGCAUUCCUCGCCGCGGCUGGUCAUGACCAUGAACGCGGGGAAGCGGCAGCACGUGACAAAAUAGCAACCGAGCGACAACGUGGCUCUUUGGAGGGAUCCCAGGGAAGAUAAGAUGCGACUCGCUCAAACAGACUCCAACAGGCU